AUGGCGGCGGCGGCGACCCUGUCCGCGGUCCGGAGAGGGUCAGCACAGCCGCCGAGACGCCGAAGACCUUGCCGCCCGUGCGAGGGCAGUUGCAGUUGGUCUUUCCCCUGGAAGAAAUUUGGAAUGCUGACUCAUUAGAGGGUGUAGACGGGGCACUGCCUGCAGAGCAGGUCCUGCCAGCCUCGUUGGAGAGGAUGCCCCCGUGUCCGUGAUGGGCUGUGGGACAAGCAAGGUCCUUCCUGAGCCGCCAAAGGAUGUCCAGCUGGAUCUCGUCAAGAAGGUGGAGCCCUUCAGUGGCACUAAGAGUGAUGUGUACAAGCACUUCAUCACAGAGGUGGACAGUGUUGGUGCUCUCAAAGCUGGGUUCCCAGCAGCCAGUCAGUGUGCAAACCCCUGCCCUGGUGCCCCCACUGCCGGCCACACAGAGCCUCCCUCAGAACCACCACGCAGGGCCAGGGUGGCUAAGUAUAGGGCUAAGUUUGACCCACGUGUGACAGCCAAGUACGACAUCAAAGCCCUGAUUGGCCGAGGCAGCUUCAGCCGGGUAGUACGCGUGGAGCACCGUGCAACCCGGCAGCCGUAUGCCAUCAAGAUGAUUGAGACCAAGUAUCGGGAAGGGCGAGAGGUAUGUGAGUCAGAGCUGCGUGUGCUGCGCCGGGUGCGUCAUGCCAACAUCAUCCAGCUGGUGGAGGUGUUUGAGACGCAGGAGCGUGUGUACAUGGUGAUGGAGCUGGCCACUGGUGGAGAGCUCUUUGAUCGCAUCAUCGCCAAGGGUUCUUUCACUGAGCGUGAUGCCACACGGGUGCUGCAGAUGGUGCUGGACGGUGUCCGAUAUCUGCAUGCGCUGGGCAUCACACACCGAGACCUCAAGCCCGAGAAUCUGCUUUACUACCACCCAGGCACUGACUCCAAGAUCAUCAUCACUGACUUCGGCCUGGCCAGUGCCCGCAAGAAGGGUGAUGACUGCCUGAUGAAGACCACUUGUGGCACACCCGAGUACAUUGCUCCCGAGGUCCUGGUCCGCAAGCCCUACACCAAUUCAGUUGACAUGUGGGCACUGGGUGUCAUUGCCUACAUCCUGCUCAGUGGCACCAUGCCCUUUGAGGAUGACAACCGCACCAGGCUGUACCGACAAAUCCUCAGGGGCAAGUACAGUUACUCGGGGGAGGCUCUCUCCCCUAAGGUCCUCUUUCCUGCUGCUCAGCCCCCACCCAUCCCCUGCCAGGUCCUAGGGUGGUGGAUUCUGUUUGGUGUGGAAGCCCAGGCACCAGGAUGGGAAUGUUGGAUUCUGCUGCUGAGGAGUGACUGGUCCCUCAGAAACAGGGGAUGAGGAAGGUGAAGUUGGUAAGGAAGUGCUCUGGGAGAGUUCCAUCUAUCCCUUUUUGGCUUCUCUGCUGUUACAGUGUCAAGAGUUGAUACCCUAGAGGUGCCUGGCUGACUCAGUAGAACACGUGACUCUUGAUCUUGGGGUCAUGAGUUUAAGCUCCAGGUUGGGCCCAGAGCUUACUUGGAAAAAAAAAAAAAGGUAGGUACCCUAACUGCAAGGGGAGGAGGACUCAAGGGCCACAGACUAGGGAAAAGGACAACCAGCUUGAUGGUCAGAAACAGGGUGGAGGUGAUGUCCCUCCUCCUACAGUCUCUCCUUAUCUUUUCAGGACAGGGCCCAGCCCUUCACACACACAGCUCAUAAAAGGCUCAUGGAAAGGACAGUGUAGGCUCUCACCCUGGGUAUUGAAGCUGCCCUAGGCUCCCACAGCAGAGGGAGACCUGAAUCUGGUGGCAUGGCAGACUGACAUUUAACAUUCCCUUCCAUGCCCCAUACUCUAAGUCAGUCCAGAAACAGGUGGAAGCCUCUGGGAGACUGGCCAGGUGGUACCUGGGGCCUGUCCCUUCUGUCAGCCACCUGAGCCUCACAUGUGUCCCUGACUUGACUCCAAGUUUACUGAGGUGAGAGUUCUGUUCUUUACCCAGAGCCAGCAGUUAGAGCUAUGGAAAGUCAAAGGCAUGACUGUUUAUCACUAUUCUCUUUCUCAUGCCCACAGUGCUACCCAGCCAGUCAGUCAUGGGCUGACAGACAUACUCAUGGAGCUCUAGAGGCCCAAGUAUGUUGUGGAAACAAGUGGGUUGGUCUGUGGGUAUUGAAAGCUUUCUUAGGAGGUACUGAAUUGGACUUGACCAGAAGCAUGGCCCUGGGUGAGUGUGGAGUCUUGCUUUUCCUUGCUGAGUACUGUUGGAGGCCUCAGCAGUGCUCCCAGGGGCCACUGUUCUGAAGGGCAGCCUGAGCCCCUGUCUCACUGUAGUGGGGUGGGUUGAGGACCACUUACCUGCUUUGGCCUGCCUGACUUCCUCCCGCAAGCCUCUCAGGGUAUGAGGGUUAGGCCGGGUGCCAUUGGCACAGCCUGAUUCUCAGGUCAGGAUGGCUUAAGUCACAUUGGCUUGGGGGACCCACCUGGUCCAGCUGCUUAUAGCUCCUGAAAGAUGGGGAGAGCCAGGGCCUGCUGAAGAGGGCCGGGCUGGCCCUUAGAUACAUGAGUUCAUUGGCAUUCUGCACACGGCUGCAUGUACACAGUAAUUGGGGAGGCAAGCAUCUGGGGGAGCAGAAGGCACAGAUCAAUCUGGCUCACUUUUGUCACUAACAGGCUGGCCGCUCGGCGAGCAGCAGGGGUCGAUGCCUGGUGUGAGCAUGUGUCACUCUGGAGAUGAAAAUGCUUAAGCUCACAGGAUGGGUCUGGUGAGAGGCCAGUCUCGGACUGCACUGGACUUGUGUGGAACUGCAGGGGUCUGGCUUGGUCUGGCUGGGUAUGGAUGUGAAGUGGGGGUGUCUCUGACCCAUCUAUGUUUAGGUUCCUGGCUUGUGAGUCCAGCUUCACCACUGUUUCUUUUGUCAUCAGAGGAGUUGUCCCUCUUCUCUCUUGGCUGGACCAAGGGGGCAUGGGCAGAAUCCAUGUCCCAGCUCUGUUUGGCUAGCCUGGGCUGCCAGUUCUGUCUUUGGGCUGUCCCACCAGUAGGACCUGCUGAGCCACAGUGUAUUUCUCAGUGAUUUUCUUUCUCUUGAAGACCAGAAAGGCUGGUAGGGCAGCACAGGUAUUCCCAUGACCCAGUCUGUUCAGCUUCUGGGUUUUGCUCUGUCCGUCGGGGGCCCCAUUAUGCCUUUCUUUCCAUUACUUAAGUGAGUGAUCGGGGCUGCAGCGAGUGUCGGUGGUUUCGACUGGCUGGCCCCUCACAGUGGCUUCUUGUGUUCAGAUGGCAGGAGCAAGACAUGGGGCUUUCUUGAACCGUGAGCCAAAAGCUACUGUGGCAGCUGUGUAGUCCAGUCCCCCUGCAUGUCAGCCUCUGUAGCGGAGCCCUGAGCUGCGCAGGCCUGCAGGGAAACUUGGACCAGACUGUGUGUGUGGGAGGGCUGUCACUCUGCGCUCCCUCACUGCUCUCAGCAAGCCCUGGCCCAGUGUGUCUAACUUGGCCAAGGACUUCAUUGAUCGCCUGUUGACGGUGGAUCCUGGCGCCCGUAUGACUGCACUGCAGGCCUUGAGGCACCCGUGGGUGGUAAGCAUGGCA
RNA transcript from Prionailurus viverrinus (fishing cat), 3555 nucleotides. It is a transcript of the gene named protein serine kinase H1, with no coding region annotated. Lineage: Eukaryota; Metazoa; Chordata; Mammalia; Carnivora; Felidae. The record is from RefSeq and is a predicted model, not a curated record. The transcript has 6 exons.